AUUAGCGGCCAUAGCGGCAGGGAAACACCUGGUCUCAUUUCGAACCCAGAAGUUAAGCCUGCCAGCGCCGGAAGCGGCACUGGUCUUUGUGACCGGAGCCCUUUGGACGCUGCUAAUC
This 118-nucleotide ribosomal RNA is filed under the name Candidatus Iainarchaeum sp. The record is from RNAcentral. Lineage: Archaea; Nanobdellati; Candidatus Iainarchaeota; Candidatus Iainarchaeia; Candidatus Iainarchaeales; Candidatus Iainarchaeaceae.